GGAAUUAAGGGAGUAGGGUAGCGUGAUAAUUAAGGCGGUUUCCUCAAGAUGAGGCUCUUCCAUUGCGCUUAAGUCGGUCUGUUUCCUUGAGAUUAUCCCUAAUGCGGAUAACUCCAGCGUUUAAUUAUUGAUAGCCGGGAUUGUUUACUCGCUGUCCCGA
This 160-nucleotide small nuclear RNA is filed under the name Phlebotomus papatasi. Its description in RNAcentral is "U1 spliceosomal RNA". It matches the Rfam family "U1 spliceosomal RNA". Rfam says of the family: U1 is a small nuclear RNA (snRNA) component of the spliceosome (involved in pre-mRNA splicing). Lineage: Eukaryota; Metazoa; Arthropoda; Insecta; Diptera; Psychodidae. The record is from RNAcentral.